GUAUAGGAGCAUGAUGUUACUUUACCUCUGAACUCUUAAUGACACAGUAUGAGAAGUUUUCUGAAACCAUGCAGACCUAUAAUUGCCUAGUUGGUUUAAACUCAUACAACGAUGUUUAUAUCCAGGGGCGGAUCUAGAAAUGUUUUCUUGCCUGGGCAGACUAAAACAACAUUAUCAUUCAUGAAAACAAAAUUUUUACAAGCUACAUUCGUAAAUAAGGGAUUUUCAGAAGAAAAAAAAUAAGUCAAUUGGGCAAAAGCCCAAGACACUGGUGACUGGCCCAUCAGCCCAUGUUCUUCUUUCUUCCCCACGCAGGCGGCGCAGCAGCGUACGUUGCUGACUUGCUGCAAGCCUGAACUCCCUGAAACCUCUUCGUUUUCUUCCUGCGGUGAUCUUGGUUGGGCAAGAUCAUCAAUAAGUUGUAAUUUUGCAAUAAAUUUGUGAGAAGAGUUCAUCUCAAUUUGUGAGAAAUACAAAAGAUGGGUGGGCAUUUGCCCAGGCUUGCCAACAUAUAGCUCCGCCCCAGUUUAUUUCCAAGAACCAUUUAUAAGCGGAGGAUUAGAACUUCUUUGUAACUCUGUCAAGAUUCAUAAUGUCAAUGUAGAACUGCAAAAGUCAGCAGAAAAGUUAACCAUGAAAGAUUUACUUGCUUGGAUUCGUACUAAUUUGAUCAAGGAGAGACCUGAAAUGUUUAUGAAAGGAGAUUCUGUGAGACCUGGUGUUCUGGCCCUUGUGAAUGAUUGUGAUUGGGAGCUGACUGGUCAACUUGAUACGACGUUAGAGGAGAAGGACGUGGUUGUGUUCAUAUCAACCUUGCACGGGGGAUAGUAUAUAUAUCACUGUAGUAUCUCUAGCUAAUGAAGGCAUACGUUACUAGCCAGCCAACCAUC
This is an RNA transcript of Fragaria vesca subsp. vesca, 890 nucleotides long. It is a transcript of the gene named ubiquitin-related modifier 1 homolog 2-like, with no coding region annotated. The record is from RefSeq and is a predicted model, not a curated record. Lineage: Eukaryota; Viridiplantae; Streptophyta; Magnoliopsida; Rosales; Rosaceae. The transcript is spliced from 4 exons.